CAGCACCUCAAGUGGUCAGGAUGAUUAUUGGGCCUAAAGCAUCCGUAGCCGGCGCUGUAAGUUUUCGGUUAAAUCUGUACGCUCAACGUACAGGCUGCCGGGAAUACUGCAGAGCUAGGGAGUGGGAGAGGUAGACGGUACUCGGUAGGAAGGGGUAAAAUCCUUUGAUCUAUUGAUGACCACCUGUGGCGAAGGUGGUCUACCAGAACACGUCCGACGGUGAGGGAUGAAAGCUGGGGGAGCAGACCGGAUUAGAGACCCGAGUAGUCC
RNAcentral lists this ribosomal RNA (270 nucleotides) under uncultured archaeon. RNAcentral describes it as "partial 16S ribosomal RNA". It matches the Rfam family "Archaeal small subunit ribosomal RNA", at positions 477 to 747 of the family's 1478-position model. The record is from RNAcentral.